GAGUUUGAUCAUGGCUCAGAUUGAACGCUGGCGGCAUGCCUUACACAUGCAAGUCGAACGGCAGCACGGGAGCUUGCUCCUGGUGGCGAGUGGCGAACGGGUGAGUAAUGCAUCGGAACGUAUCCUGGAGUGGGGGAUAACGUAGCGAAAGUUACGCUAAUACCGCAUAUUCUGUGAGCAGGAAAGCGGGGGACCUUCGGGCCUCGCGCUCUUGGAGCGGCCGAUGUCGGAUUAGCUAGUUGGUGAGGUAAAGGCUCACCAAGGCGACGAUCCGUAGCAGGUCUGAGAGGAUGAUCUGCCACAAUGGAACUGAGACACGGUCCAGACUCCUACGGGAGGCAGCAGUGGGGAAUUUUGGACAAUGGGGGCAACCCUGAUCCAGCCAUGCCGCGUGAGUGAAGAAGGCCUCGGUU
RNAcentral lists this ribosomal RNA (413 nucleotides) under bacterium enrichment culture clone ALO1_GLFRUDD03FMQQQ. RNAcentral describes it as "bacterial SSU rRNA". It matches the Rfam family "Bacterial small subunit ribosomal RNA", at positions 9 to 424 of the family's 1533-position model. The record is from RNAcentral.